Molecule: ribosomal RNA, 253 nt
Filed under: uncultured bacterium
Lineage: Bacteria
Description: partial 16S ribosomal RNA
Rfam family: Bacterial small subunit ribosomal RNA
Source: RNAcentral
UACGGAGGGUGCAAGCGUUAUCCGGAUUUAUUGGGUUUAAAGGGUCCGUAGGCGGACAAUUAAGUCAGUGGUGAAAUCCAACAGCUCAACUGUUGAACUGCCAUUGAUACUGAUUGUCUUGAGUAUGUUAGAUGUUGGCGGAAUAGGUCAUGUAGCGGUGAAAUGCUUAGAUAUGACCUAGAACACCGAUUGCGAAGGCAGCCAACAAUGCCAUUACUGACGCUGAGGGACGAAAGCGUGGGGAGCGAACAGG